UAGCCCACUUGGUAGAGCACAAGGCUUCUAACCAUGUGGUCGUGGGUUCAAGCCCCAU
Non-coding RNA from Zea mays, 58 nucleotides. Lineage: Eukaryota; Viridiplantae; Streptophyta; Magnoliopsida; Poales; Poaceae. The record is from Rfam.